CAUUUAGAGGAAGUAAAAGUCGUAACAAGGUUUCCGUAGGUGAACCUGCGGAAGGAUCAUUAUUGAAUUUAAUAAAGAGUUUGGUUGUAGCUGGCCUAAUUGAUUUUUUGAAUUAAAAUUUUAAUUCAGGCAUGUGCACGCCUUUCUCUUUCAUCCAUACACACCUGUGCACCUGUGAGACAGAUUUAGGGGAACUUUCAUUUUUUUUGAGGGGGACCCUGCUGUCUAUUUAAUUUAUAUAAACUCAAUUUAUUUUAAAAUGAAUGUAAUGGAUGUAACACAUCUAAUACUAAGUUUCAACAACGGAUCUCUUGGCUCUCGCAUCGAUGAAGAACGCAGCGAAAUGCGAUAAGUAAUGUGAAUUGCAGAAUUCAGUGAAUCAUCGAAUCUUUGAACGCACCUUGCGCUCCUCGGUAUUCCUUGGAGCAUGCCUGUUUGAGUAUCGUGAAAUCUUCAAAGUAAAUCUUUUGUUCACUCAAUUGGUUCUACUUUGGUAUUGGAGGUUUAUUGCAGCUUCACACCUGCUCCUCUUUGUGCAUUAGCUGGAUUCUCAGUGUUAUGCUUGGUUCCACUUGGCGUGAUAAGUUAAAUUUAAUCGCUGAGGACACACUCUCUAUAACCAAAAAAAGGGGGGGUGGCCAUGGUAAAUACAGAUGAACCCGCUUCUAAUAGUCCAUUGGCUUGGACAAAAAUUAUCUAUUACGAUCUGAUCUCAAAUCAGGUAGGACUACCCGCUGAACUUAAGCAUAUCAAUAAGCGGAGGAAAAGAAACU
This 773-nucleotide ribosomal RNA is filed under the name uncultured Ceratobasidiaceae. RNAcentral's name for it is "eukaryotic LSU rRNA". The stretch from base 292 to 445 matches the Rfam family "5.8S ribosomal RNA". Lineage: Eukaryota; Fungi; Basidiomycota; Agaricomycetes; Cantharellales; Ceratobasidiaceae. The record is from RNAcentral.